CACCUACGGGAGGCAGCAGUGGGGAAUAUUGGACAAUGGGCGAAAGCCUGAUCCAGCAAUGCCGCGUGUGUGAAGAAGGCCUUAGGGUUGUAAAGCACUUUCAGUGGGGAGGAAGUUAUAUUUGCUAAUAUCAGAUGUAAUUGACGUUACCCACAGAAGAAGCACCGGCUAACUCUGUGCCAGCAGCCGCGGUAAUACAGAGGGUGCAAGCGUUAAUCGGAAUUACUGGGCGUAAAGGGUGUGUAGGUGGUUAUGUAAGUUAGAUGUGAAAUCCCCGGGCUUAACCUGGGAACUGCGUUUAAAACUGCGUAGCUAGAGUAUUGCAGAGGAUAGUGGAAUUUCCAGUGUAGCGGUGAAAUGCGUAGAUAUUGGAAGGAACACCAGUGGCGAAGGCGACUGUCUGGGCAAAUACUGACACUGAGACACGAAAGCGUGGGGAGCAAACAGGAUUAGAUACCCUGGUAGUCCAUGCUGUAAACUAUGAGAACUUGCUGUUGGAUGCAUAAAGGCAUUUAGUAGCGAAGCUAACGCGUUAA
This 536-nucleotide ribosomal RNA is filed under the name uncultured bacterium. RNAcentral describes it as "bacterial SSU rRNA". It matches the Rfam family "Bacterial small subunit ribosomal RNA", at positions 335 to 863 of the family's 1533-position model. The record is from RNAcentral.